GAUGAACGCUGGCGGCGUGCUUAACACAUGCAAGUCGAACGAAGCACUUCAAUCGAUUUCUUCGGAAUGAAGUUUUAGUGACUGAGUGGCGGACGGGUGAGUAACGCGUGGGUAACCUGCCUUAUACAGGGGGAUAACAGUUGGAAACGACUGCUAAUACCGCAUAAGCGCACGGUAUCGCAUGAUACAGUGUGAAAAACUCCGGUGGUAUAAGAUGGACCCGCGUCUGAUUAGCUUGUUGGUGAGGUAAACGGGCCCACCAAGGCGACGAUCAGUAGCCGGCCUGAGAGGGUGAACGGCCACAUUGGGACUGAGACACGGCCCAAACUCCUACGGGAGGCAGCAGUGGGGAAUAUUGCACAAUGGGGGAAACCUUGAUGCAGCGACGCCGCGUGGAGGAAGAAGGUCUUCGGAUUGUAAACUCCUGUUGUUGGGGAAGAUAAUGACGGUACCCAACAAGGAAGUGACGGCUAACUACGUG
RNAcentral lists this ribosomal RNA (481 nucleotides) under uncultured bacterium. Its description in RNAcentral is "bacterial SSU rRNA". It matches the Rfam family "Bacterial small subunit ribosomal RNA", at positions 28 to 507 of the family's 1533-position model. The record is from RNAcentral.